GCAGCAGUAAAAAUUCAGCCAUAAUUAUAGCCACAUUGGCAGCAAAAUACACUCUUUUUAAAAAGUAUUCACCCACUAAGAUGUUUCCCCCCUGACAAAAGAACACACUAAGAAGAAAUGGUUAUUGAAAAGUAUACAAAAGAGGAUGAUAUUGGACAAGUCACACAGCCGUCCUGUCAAAGGGCAAGACAGUGUCACUCUAUGUAAAGACACAUCUGUUUAUCAAAUUGUUUGUGACUGACUGUCCCUGAGCCAUGCUGGAUUUGAAUGGGUGUGUUUGGGAGCAUAACAUUCAAAACAAGAGCCCGGCCCAAAAUCCUUACUUUGAAUAUAUGAUAAGAUAUGUUUCUCAUACCAAACAUAAUGUGAAAUAAUAAUUUAGUAUACACCGACGAUUGCACAAGCUAUCUGCUCACUAUCACCCACGUUAUCUCCAAUGCAUCUUAAGAGAUUCAGCCAAGAGACCCCCUUUUCCACCUAUUAGUGUUACUCUACCACCACAAUCUUCUUUAUAUUUUGUCCUACAUUCUGUCUUCAUAGUCCAAGCUUCCAGUUGAUAUCCUCUUAUUGGAAAUCUCAUAAAGAUUUUCAGAUAUUUAAUCCAGCAGCUAGAUUAACUGUCUAGCAAUUUACACUCUCUCCAUUCAGAGUGAAAUCAACAAUUAUUGAUGGGAUGUCCCAUUAAAUCUGGUACAGACACAGGUUCACAAUGAACUAUUAUUUCCUUGGUGACCCUCAGUGCUAUAUCCUUUUAGCGUCAUCUGUAAGGUCAUGUAUCUGCGAAGAGAGAACUUGGAUAUGGCCCUUGAACUAAAGUGAGUUUGACACCUCUGGGCUAAAUUUUGACCUUUGACCACAAAUACAACACCCAAUAGGCGGUUUAGGCCUCUGCCUAGGCUUCUAUACAGACCCUAACAGCGUAGCCUGACGUCCACCUCCCCAGAAACAAGCUACUAUGUGCCGGACAUCUGGGAUAGACCAAGCAGUUAAAGUCGUGCUGAGAUCCAAAGAAAUUCAGGAUGAAAUGAGAAAGAACGUGAUUGAGACCUAUCAGUGUGGUAAAGGUUAUGAAGCAUUUUCUAAAGAUUUGGGGCUCGAGUGAAAAUGGAAAUGGAGAAAACAUGGAACACUGGUGAACCUUACCAGGAAUGGCCGGCCGACCAAAAUUACCCCAAAAUAAGCACAGAGACAACUCAUCCAAAAGUUCACAAAAGACCCCACAACAACAUCCAAAGAACUGCAGGCCUUGCUUCAGUUAAGGAUAGUGUUCAUGACCACAAGAAAGAGGCUAGGCUAAAAUGGCCAGACUCGUCUCAGUUUUGCCAGAAAACAUCUUGAUGAUCCCCAAGUCUUUUGGGAAAAACCCUGAAGGAGAACGGCCAGCCAUCGGUUUGUGACCUCAAGCUAAAGUGAACUUGGGUUCUGAGGCAGGACAAUGAUCCAAAGCAUACCAGCAAGUCCACCUCUGAAUGAUUGAAGAAAAACUAAAUGAAGACUUUGGAGUGGCCUAGUCAAAGUCCUGACCUGACUCCUAUUGAGAUGCUGUGGCAUGACCUUAAAAAGGACGUUCAUGCCUGAGAACUCUUCAAUGUGACUGAAUUCUGAUGAUCUAGAGGGACAAUUGUCUCUAGGGUUACAGAGGAAAGAAUAUCCGAGGGAGCAGCAGUUUUCUGGGUAAAAGCACCUUGCUUCUGCUGCUUGUUACAAUAUGAAUGCAGGAGAGCAUUUCUGAAAGGGAAACAUGUCAAAACUGUCAGUUAGGAACUGUUCUUCAGUUAGCAAAGACUCACAAAAAAUACACAAGUUGUGCCUUGUCUGAUGAUUUGCAUUGGGAUUUUGAAACAACAUGAAAGUCAUCCUUCCUUGUAUCAACAGGUUUACCAAAAAAAAAAUAAAAAAUACUGACAUAUAUCGGACCGAUAUUUGCAUUUUGGUAUCGGUAUAGGCCGAUACACGGGUAUGUUCGCCUAUACAUUCACCGGUUUAUUAUAUUUUUCUGACUCUACACUACGACCUGCUUGUGCUCUACAGCUUCUUACCUGUCUAUUUUUUAUUUUGUAUGCAUACCAGCGUUAAGUAUUCUUUGAGUUUAGUAAAUUUUUGUUUUUGGUUAAACGGAGACUUGAAAUUUUGUUAUCGUUGUGUGAUUGUUAUCAUGUAAAUGGAGGGGAGCAUUGUUAUUAUAACAUUUGCCCCUGGUAGAAUAAUGAUUGCUGUUUAAUGUGCCAACACACAAACUGAUUCUGUGUUUUUUUUACUCAUUGUGCAAAUGUAAAUAGCAGGAAGCAAUGAAGUGUGUCAUGGCGUCAGUUUUGCUCCAGGUAUUCAGUACCUCUCAAACAGUGGGUUUUCUUAUCUGCAGCCAUCACAUCUAGAACCUUGCAGAGGAUCUUGCAGUCUCUUUCUGCAAUCACCUCUGCAGCAUGCGAGCAACAUUUUAGCCUCGCAGGUCCUCCGGAGACUCUAGUAAACCCACUGGUGAUUAGACACCACACAGUACAAAUGCAAAACGAAGGACAUGUAAACAAAUAUGCCACAUAAUUUAUGCAAAAGUGCGUUUGAAAGGUUUGAAGGUUUGCUUCCGCUUUGGAAAAAUGAAAAUCACCUUAAAGAAGGCAUGAGCAAGAGACACCUUGUUAUGACGUAGAUCACGUGACCGACAGGACUAUGUUAUGACUACUGUUUCUGUUGGGGUUUUGUGCAAUGCUGUGAUUGGCCCUCAGGAUCCUUUCAAGCUUUGUGUGCGCCGUGUUUCUGAGAUUGUUAUGCCACAGACUUGAAGUAUAAGGAAUCUUACCUGAAAAACAUCAGACAAGUGUAAAUUUUCCAGUAGAAAACACGACGAGGAAGAUGUGCAUUCUUUUGCUCCUGCUUCUCAUCCAUCUUCCUUUUUGUGCGCAAGCACUGAAGAACAUAACAGUAUACGGUGAAUAUGAACUGACGUGGAACAGGGCACAGACCUUCUGCAGGAAGCACCACACUGACCUGGUGACAAUCACCAAUGAAGAAGAGAAUCGGCAGCUUAACGGACGCAGAGGAUGGAUUGGUUUGUACAGAGAGGGCUAUGGUAGUCCAUGGAAGUGGUCCAGAGGAGACGAGAGAGUCAACUUGUCCUUCUGGGCCAAUGGUGAACCAGAGUCAGACAAACACUGUGGCAUUAGGUGGGCCUAUUCACCGGAAUGGUGGAACGUUGACUGUGGUUCUGGACAGUAUUUCAUCUGUUAUGAUGAGACGUUGGUCCUGGUGAAGGAGAAUAAGACGUGGGAGGAGGCGUUGGACCACUGCAGGUCUCUCGGGGGAUUGGACACCUCUACCAACAGGGUCCACCUCUACGACCUGGUGACACUGUCCUCUGAAUUUGACCACAUCUUUGCAAGAAGUGAAGCCCGAGAAGCUACCACCGAUGAGGUGUGGACGGGCCUGCGUUUCCUGGCUGGUGAGUGGCUGUGGGUGAGCGGAGAACAGGUGAUGUACGACAACAUUCAAAGGUGCGAGGCUGACCGGUUCUGUGGUGUCCUGGAGAGGAAGAACACUUCAUUCUUUGGGAUAAGGAGCUGCAACGAGAGAAGAAACUUCUUUUGUCAGAAGAGGCUUUAAACCAGUAGAUACAUGCAGCUAAAUACAUUUACUUGACUAUUUUAGUAGAAGUUAAAGGUGUCUUUGUCUUUCGAUUUUGAAAAAUAGUUCCUUUUUACUGUUAUAUUCUGAAAGUAGACUUCUGUAUAAUACUCCAAAUGUAGACAUGGUUUGGUAUAAUUACCCGUCUAUUAUAAUGAAAACCCUGAUUAAGCCAGUGAUAUGUUGCUUCCCUUACCUAUAUCAUUAUCAUAUUAUAUUAUAAAAGUUUUCAGUGGAGGUCUUUUUCUUCCACUGGAGCAUUAAAGCAUUCAAAAUCCAUUUCAAGCCCAGUUGUUGUAUAACGUUUUUUUUUUUUUUUCUAAUAAAAUAUGACGUCUACUUGACAUUUGCAUGACACUGCUUUGCAACUUGUUGGCACUCCGGAAAGAUGAUUCAGAAGAAGCAAAGCAAAUGUGCAUGUAUCCCUGGCAAGGUCAUUCUACAAGAUUUGCAUAAUCUUGUGACUGGAAGUUAUGGUCUAAAGGCAGUUCUUGCAUGUGUGAUGAGUAUUUAACAGACUUGGCUGAGGAGAAGACUUCCUAAGCUGACCACCUCUUCUCUUGUCUCAAAAAGUGCAAAUUAUCCAGUGGAAAACAUGACAAGGAAGAUGUGCAUUCUUGUGCUCCUGCUUCUCGUCGUUGUUCCUUUGUGUUGCUGACCGUUUCUGUGGUGUCCUGGAGAGGAAGACCACUUCCUUCCUUUGGGACAAGGCGCUGCAAUGAGAGAAGAAACUUCUUUUGUCAGAAGAGGCUUUAAACCAGUAGAUCCAUGCAGCUAAAUACAUUUGAAUCUAAGAUUUGAGGGAUCUGUGCUCCUCUUUCAAUUUUAUGGUAAAUAAGUAUCUACUAUUACAUCUCAUAAAGUAAUAUAUCUCUAUAUACUAUAGGACUGGUGUGGCAUGUGAAAGUAUAUU
Mugil cephalus (flathead mullet) is the source of this 4531-nucleotide RNA transcript. It is a transcript of the gene named secretory phospholipase A2 receptor-like, with no coding region annotated. Lineage: Eukaryota; Metazoa; Chordata; Actinopteri; Mugiliformes; Mugilidae. The transcript is spliced from 5 exons. The record is from RefSeq and is a predicted model, not a curated record.